CCUACGGGAGGCAGCAGUGAGGAAUAUUGGUCAAUGGACGCAAGUCUGAACCAGCCAUGCCGCGUGCAGGAAGACGGCUCUAUGAGUUGUAAACUGCUUUUGUACGAGGGUAAACGCAGAUACGCGUAUCUGUCUGCAAGUAUCGUACGAAUAAGGAUCGGCUAAUUCCGUGCCAGCAGCCGCGGUAAUACGGAGGAUUCAAGCGUUAUCCGGAUUUAUUGGGUUUAAAGGGUGCGUAGGCGGUCGGUUAAGUUAGAGGUGAAAUCCCGAGGCUCAACUUCGGAAUUGCCUCGGAUACUGUUCGGCUAGAGAGUGGUGACGGUAGGCGGAAUGUAUGGUGUAGCGGUGAAAUGCUUAGAGAUCAUACAGAACACCGAUUGCGAAGGCAGCUUACCAAGCUACUUCUGACGUUGAGGCACGAAAGCGUGGGGAGCAAACAGGAUUAGAUACCCCUGUAGUC
RNAcentral lists this ribosomal RNA (460 nucleotides) under uncultured bacterium. Its description in RNAcentral is "partial 16S ribosomal RNA". It matches the Rfam family "Bacterial small subunit ribosomal RNA", at positions 338 to 795 of the family's 1533-position model. The record is from RNAcentral.